CCGCCCACGGCGUGCGGACCGUCGCCGCGCUCGAGCUGCGUCAGCGGGUGCGUUCGACGCGCUGGGUGGU
RNAcentral lists this transfer RNA (70 nucleotides) under Cellulomonas composti. RNAcentral describes it as "tRNA-Ser". Lineage: Bacteria; Bacillati; Actinomycetota; Actinomycetes; Micrococcales; Cellulomonadaceae. The record is from RNAcentral.